RNAcentral lists this ribosomal RNA (296 nucleotides) under uncultured soil bacterium. RNAcentral's name for it is "partial 16S ribosomal RNA". It matches the Rfam family "Bacterial small subunit ribosomal RNA", at positions 260 to 573 of the family's 1533-position model. The record is from RNAcentral.
ACGGCUCACCAAGGCGACGAUCGGUAGCUGGUCUGAGAGGAUGACCAGCCUCACUGGGACUGAGACACGGCCCAGACUCCUACGGGAGGCAGCAGUGGGGAAUAUUGGACAAUGGGCGCAAGCCUGAUCCAGCCAUGCCGCGUGGGUGAUGAAGGCCCUAGGGUUGUAAAGCCCUUUCAGCGGGGAAGAUAAUGACGGUACCCGCAGAAGAAGCCCCGGCUAACUUCGUGCCAGCAGCCGCGGUAAUACGAAGGGGGCUAGCGUUGCUCGGAAUUACUGGGCGUAAAGCGCACGUA